RNAcentral lists this ribosomal RNA (468 nucleotides) under uncultured bacterium. RNAcentral's name for it is "partial 16S ribosomal RNA". It matches the Rfam family "Bacterial small subunit ribosomal RNA", at positions 28 to 507 of the family's 1533-position model. The record is from RNAcentral.
GAUGAACGCUGGCGGCGUGCUUAACACAUGCAAGUCGAACGGAAAGGCCCAAGCUUGCUUGGGUACUCGAGUGGCGAACGGGUGAGUAACACGUGGGUGAUCUGCCCUGCACUUCGGGAUAAGCCUGGGAAACUGGGUCUAAUACCGGAUAGGACCACUUCUUGGAUGUUGUGGUUGAAAGUUUUCUCGGUGUGGGAUGAGCUCGCGGCCUAUCAGCUUGUUGGUGGGGUAAUGGCCUACCAAGGCGUCGACGGGUAGCCGGCCUGAGAGGGUGUACGGCGACAUUGGGACUGAGAUACGGCCCAGACUCCUACGGGGGGCAGCAGUGGGGAAUAUUGCACAAUGGGCGCAAGCCUGAUGCAGCGACGCCGCGUGGGGGAUGACGGCCUUCGGGUUGUAAACUCCUUUCGCGAGGGACGAAGCGUUUUUGUGACGGUACCUGGAGAAGAAGCACCGGCUAACUACGUG